This 254-nucleotide ribosomal RNA is filed under the name uncultured bacterium. RNAcentral's name for it is "partial 16S ribosomal RNA". It matches the Rfam family "Bacterial small subunit ribosomal RNA", at positions 524 to 776 of the family's 1533-position model. The record is from RNAcentral.
UACGAAGGGGGCUAGCGUUGUUCGGAAUUACUGGGCGUAAAGCGCACGUAGGCGGAUUGUUAAGUUAGGGGUGAAAUCCCAGGGCUCAACCCUGGAACUGCCUUUAAUACUGGCAAUCUCGAGUCCGAGAGAGGUGAGUGGAAUUCCGAGUGUAGAGGUGAAAUUCGUAGAUAUUCGGAGGAACACCAGUGGCGAAGGCGGCUCACUGGCUCGGGUACUGACGCUGAGGUGCGAAAGCGUGGGGAGCAAACAGG